ACCAACUUCCCUAAAAUCCUGCUGCAGGAGGUAACAUAACUGAGAGUUAGGUUUAGAAAGGGCAGUCUUAGAUCUUAGAUAUAGCAAGUAUUAAGACAUUAUUUUCAAGAUUACUAGAGAUUUUUUUUUUGAAUGGAGCCUUGCUCUGUCCCCCACGCUGGAGUGCAGUGGCAUGAUCUCAGCUCACUGCAACCUCUGCCUCCCGGGUUCAAGCAAUUCUCCUGCCUGAUCCUCCUGGGUAGCUGGUACCACAAGCAUGCUAUCACGCCCGGCUAAUUUUUGUAUUUUUAGUACAGAAAAGAUUUCACCAUGUUGGCCAGGCUGGUCUCGAACUCAUGACCUCAAGUGAUCUGCCUACCUCAGCCUCCCAAAGUGCUGGGAUUACCAGUGUGAGCCACUGUGCCCAGCGAGAAUUUUUUUCUUUUUUUAAACCUUGGUGCAGUAGCCUAGAAAUAAAAUACAUUCAGCAACUGUUGGGGCAAUAAUUAUUUAUUUUAAAUAUCUCAGAAGCUUUGUGUUAAUAGAACCCCCUCCCCCAAUUUUCAUGAGCAUUAAACAUUCACCAUUCUCAAAACAUGCAUGACAUACAAUUUAGAUUUACAUUGUUUUAAUCAUUCCCUUUCAACAUGAAUUUUUAGAUUCUAUAACAUUAAUUUAGAGGAUACCACACCAA
This 673-nucleotide long non-coding RNA is filed under the name Homo sapiens (human). RNAcentral's name for it is "HSALNT0052783". The record is from RNAcentral. Lineage: Eukaryota; Metazoa; Chordata; Mammalia; Primates; Hominidae.